CCUACGGGAGGCAGCAGUAGGGAAUCUUUCACAAUGGGCCAAAGCCUGAUGGAGCAGCGCCUCGUGCAGGAUGAAGGCCUUCGUGUUGUAAACUGCUUUUAUAAGCGAGAAAUCUGAUGGUAACUUAUGAAUAAGGAUCGGCUAACUACGUGCCAGCAGCCGCGGUAAUACGUAGGUGGCAAGCGUUAUCCGGAUUUACUGGGUGGAAAGGGCGUGUAGGCGGGAGAGCAAGUCAGAUGUGAAAUUCCAGGGCUCAACCCUGGAACUGCAUGUGAAACUGUUUUUCUCGAGUGAUGGAGAGGCAGGCGGAAUGCCGUGUGUAGCGGUGAAAUGCGUAGAUAUAGGGAGGAACACCAGUGGCGAAGGCGGCCUGCUGGACAUUAACUGACGCUGAGGCGCGAAAGCGUGGGGAGCAAACAGGAUUAGAUACCCCAGUAGUC
This 440-nucleotide ribosomal RNA is filed under the name uncultured bacterium. Its description in RNAcentral is "partial 16S ribosomal RNA". It matches the Rfam family "Bacterial small subunit ribosomal RNA", at positions 338 to 795 of the family's 1533-position model. The record is from RNAcentral.